AGCCGUGCUCAGGCUCUGCUCUGUGCUUGGCCCUGUGUCCCACCCCCGCUCCCCUGGGCAGGGUCAGGGAGAAGGGAAUUGAAGGCGGUGUCUUUGGCUGACACCAGCCCGCUGGGGAGGGAUGAGAGGAAGGGGGUCUUGGGGGCUGGGUUCAGAGCAAGGUUAGCCAAAUAUCGGAUAAAUUAAGCAAGAGAAACAGACAGCUCAGCUUGCAGUGAACUUUUCACCCAGCUAACCUGUUCCUCACCCUGCCUUGCACAGGUGGAGUGCCACUGGAGCACAAGCCUUGCUCCCCCUUUCUCCCUUCUUGCUGGGGUGAGGCAUGGCCAAGGGGAGAGCAGGAGCUGCUCUGAAUCCCAGGAAUAUCACAGCUCUGAUCUGUGGUAUGAGAGCCCUGAAGUUCACACCAUUACUGCAGAGGGGUUAGUCCCUGUUUGCUGCGGGGGGAAUGAGGACUGAUGAUUGCUGGUCACAGAGGAUUGGGAAGAAUUCCAUAUUGGAGAGGGCAAGGAACAAAUGGACGGUUUCCAUCCCCAUUUUGGAUCCGGGAAGUUCCCUGAGCUCCCUGUAAAUGUCUGCUCACGCCCAGCUCCUCAGCCACGGCCGGGUUUAGGUGACUGCUGCAAAGGAGCCCUGGCAGCAUGCAGUAUUUUGCCCACAGGCACAGGUUUUUUUUGCUACAUCAUUAUUUUGAUACCCAGUGGUUUGUAGGGCUGGAUGUCAGUUGUUUGCCAAAGGCCUCGGAGCAGCAGUGCUCAGGAA
This is a long non-coding RNA of Motacilla alba alba, 762 nucleotides long. RefSeq lists it as uncharacterized. Lineage: Eukaryota; Metazoa; Chordata; Aves; Passeriformes; Motacillidae. The transcript is spliced from 3 exons. The record is from RefSeq and is a predicted model, not a curated record.